GACGAACGCUGGCGGCGUGCCUAACACAUGCAAGUCGAGCGAGGUUGCGGAUGGGUGCUUGCACCCUGAAGCUACCUAGCGGCGGACGGGUGAGUAACGCGUGAGUAACCUGCCUUAUACAGGGGGAUAACAACGAGAAAUCGUUGCUAAUACCGCAUAAGACCACGGUAUCGCAUGGUACAGGGGUAAAAGGAGCAAUCCGGUAUAAGAUGGACUCGCGUCCCAUUAGCUAGUUGGUGAGAUAACAGCCCACCAAGGCAACGAUGGGUAGCCGACCUGAGAGGGUGAUCGGCCACACUGGGACUGAGACACGGCCCAGACUCCUACGGGAGGCAGCAGUGGGGAAUAUUGGGCAAUGGGCGAAAGCCUGACCCAGCAACGCCGCGUGAAGGAAGAAGGUCUUCGGAUUGUAAACCUCUGUCGUCAGGGACGAAAAAGGACGGUACCUGGCAAGAAAGCCCCGGCUAACUACGUG
RNAcentral lists this ribosomal RNA (475 nucleotides) under uncultured bacterium. Its description in RNAcentral is "bacterial SSU rRNA". It matches the Rfam family "Bacterial small subunit ribosomal RNA", at positions 28 to 507 of the family's 1533-position model. The record is from RNAcentral.